CCUACGGGAGGCAGCAGUGGGGAAUAUUGCACAAUGGGGGAAACCCUGAUCCAGCGACGCCGCAUGAGUGAAGAAGUAUUUCGGUAUGUAAAGCUCUAUCAGCAGGGAAGAAAAUGACGGUACCUGAUUAAGAAGCCCCGGCUAACUACGUGCCGGCAGCCGCGGUAAUACGUAGGGGGCAGGCGUUAUCCGGAUUUACUGGGUGUAAAGGGGGCGCAGUCGGCAGUGCAAGUAUGGAGUGAAAGCCCGGGGCCCAACCACGGAACUGCUUGGGAAACUGGGUGGCGAGAGUACGGGAGGGGCAGGCGGAAUUCCUAGUGGAGCGGUGAAAGGCGUAGAUAUUAGGAGGAACACCAGUGGCGAAGGCGGCCUGCUGGACAGUAACUGACGUUGAGGCUCGAAAGCGUGGGGAGCAAACAGGAUUAGAUACCCUGGUAGUC
Molecule: ribosomal RNA, 440 nt
Filed under: uncultured bacterium
Lineage: Bacteria
Description: partial 16S ribosomal RNA
Rfam family: Bacterial small subunit ribosomal RNA
Source: RNAcentral